This 426-nucleotide long non-coding RNA is filed under the name Vombatus ursinus (common wombat). Its description in RNAcentral is "lncRNA (ENSVURG00010018445.1)". Lineage: Eukaryota; Metazoa; Chordata; Mammalia; Diprotodontia; Vombatidae. The record is from RNAcentral.
GGGAGGACUAUGAUGUGUUUUACAGCUUUGGGAUUUCUUCUUAACCUAUCUAGAGGCUGAAACCCAAGCAGAUGGUAAUGAAAAUACAAAACAAGCCUUUGGAGGACAAAUCAUUGUUUCACCCGAGGCUCUCUGCCUUUACCCUGAGGUUGGAAUAAGGGUUGCCUGACGUGGAAAACUAUUGAUCCUCCAGGACUGAUAGCAUUUCUUCCAGAGGACGUGGUAACCUGGCGUUGUGAGGGUGAAAGGAGAUCUCACAGAAAAGCAAAGCCUUUGUACAAAUGCAAGGGUAAAAACUGUUUCUGUGUUUGUAUCCUCAGCAUUCAGAAUAGUUCAGUGCACAUAAUGGAUUCUUGUUAAAUGUUUGCUGAAUUACUAUUACAUUGGACCUACACUUUAAUCCACCUCCUAAAGAGAAGUGAUGGA